GUGGGGAAUCUUCCGCAAUGGACGAAAGUCUGACGGAGCAACGCCGCGUGAGUGAAGAAGGUUUUCGGAUCGUAAAGCUCUUUCGUUAGGGACGAACGGCCGGUGGAGUGGAAAGCCACCGGAUUGACGGUACCUGAGAAGGAAGCCACGGCUAACUACGUGCCAGCAGCCGCGGUAAUACGUAGGUGGCAAGCGUUGUCCGGAAUUAUUGGGCGUAAAGCGCGCGCAGGUGGGAUCUUAAGUCCAUUUUUAAAGUUCGGAGCUCAACUCCGUGAUGGGAUGGAAACUGGGAUUCUUGAGUACCGGAGAGGAAAGCGGAAUUCCCCGUGUAGCGGUGAAAUGCGUAGAUAUGGGGAGGAACACCAGUGGCGAAGGCGGCUUUCUGGACGGUGUCUGACACUGAGGCGCGAAAGCCAGGGGAGCGAACGGGAUUAGAAACCCGAGUAGUCC
This 450-nucleotide ribosomal RNA is filed under the name uncultured bacterium. RNAcentral describes it as "partial 16S ribosomal RNA". It matches the Rfam family "Bacterial small subunit ribosomal RNA", at positions 354 to 796 of the family's 1533-position model. The record is from RNAcentral.